RNAcentral lists this transfer RNA (75 nucleotides) under Chloroflexota bacterium. RNAcentral describes it as "Chloroflexi bacterium tRNA-Val". It matches the Rfam family "tRNA". From Rfam's summary of the family: Transfer RNA (tRNA) molecules are approximately 80 nucleotides in length. Their secondary structure includes four short double-helical elements and three loops (D, anti-codon, and T loops). Lineage: Bacteria; Bacillati; Chloroflexota. RNAcentral also lists the same sequence under 2 other names. The record is from RNAcentral.
GGGCGGCUAGCUCAGUGGGAGAGCGCUUGCUUCACACGCAAGAGGUCGGAGGUUCAAAACCUCCGCCGCCCACCA